ACGCUGGCGGCAGGCCUAACACAUGCAAGUCGAGCGGUAGAGAGAAGCUUGCUUCUCUUGAGAGCGGCGGACGGGUGAGUAAUGCCUAGGAAUCUGCCUGGUAGUGGGGGAUAACGUCCGGAAACGGACGCUAAUACCGCAUACGUCCUACGGGAGAAAGCAGGGGACCUUCGGGCCUUGCGCUAUCAGAUGAGCCUAGGUCGGAUUAGCUAGUUGGUGGGGUAAUGGCUCACCAAGGCGACGAUCCGUAACUGGUCUGAGAGGAUGAUCAGUCACACUGGAACUGAGACACGGUCCAGACUCCUACGGGAGGCAGCAGUGGGGAAUAUUGGACAAUGGGCGAAAGCCUGAUCCAGCCAUGCCGCGUGUGUGAAGAAGGUCUUCGGAUUGUAAAGCACUUUAAGUUGGGAGGAAGGGCAGUAAAUUAAUACUUUGCUGUUUUGACGUUACCGACAGAAUAAGCACCGGCUAACUCUGUGCCAGCAGCCGCGGUAAUACAGAGGGUGCAAGCGUUAAUCGGAAUUACUGGGCGUAAAGCGCGCGUAGGUGGUUCGUUAAGUUAGAUGUGAAAUCCCCGGGCUCAACCUGGGAACUGCAUUCAAAACUGACGAGCUAGAGUAUGGUAGAAGGGUGGUGGAAUUUCCUGUGUAGCGGUGAAAUGCGUAGAUAUAGGAAGGAACACCAGUGGCGAAGGCGACCACCUGGACUGAUACUGACACUGAGGUGCGAAAGCGUGGGGAGCAAAC
Molecule: ribosomal RNA, 746 nt
Filed under: uncultured bacterium
Lineage: Bacteria
Description: bacterial SSU rRNA
Rfam family: Bacterial small subunit ribosomal RNA
Source: RNAcentral